UUACCAAUCCUGAUUCCAGCGCU
This 23-nucleotide small nuclear RNA is filed under the name Arabidopsis thaliana (thale cress). RNAcentral describes it as "snRNA_11529". The record is from RNAcentral. Lineage: Eukaryota; Viridiplantae; Streptophyta; Magnoliopsida; Brassicales; Brassicaceae.